AGCCGGUCCCGGCUGCGGCUUCUGGCUGCGCGGCCUGCGCGCGCCUCCCGGGCGGAUUCCAGCCCUGAGCGCGACAGCGCGGCGGGGAGCAACGAGUGCUUUACUCCAUGAACUGUCUAAUGACGGUGCUCAUAAGCAGUUUGAUCACUACCUCGAAGAGCUCAUCUUGCCCAUCAUGGUGGGCUGUGCCAAGAAAGGAGAACGAGAGUGCCACAUUGUUGUGCUGACGGAUGAGGAUUCUGUGGACUGGGAUGAAGACCACCCUCCACCAAUGGGGGAGGAAUAUUCCCAAAUUCUUUAUAGCUCCAAGCUCUACAGAUUCUUCAAAUAUAUUGAGAAUAGGGAUGUUGCAAAAACAGUGUUAAAGGAACGGGGCCUAAAAAACAUUCGCAUUGGAAUUGAAGGUUACCCUACCUGUAAAGAAAAAAUUAAGAGAAGGCCUGGCGGCCGGUCUGAAGUCAUCUAUAAUUAUGUACAACGCCCCUUCAUCCAGAUGUCAUGGGAAAAGGAAGAAGGGAAGAGUCGCCAUGUGGAUUUCCAGUGUGUUCGAAGCAAAUCCCUCACGAAUCUGGUAGCUGCUGGAGAUGAUGUCUUGGAGGACCAGGAGAUAUUAAUGCAUCACCCACCCCAAGUGGAUGAACUUGACCGGCUAAAUGCCCCACUUUCUCAGAUGGCUUCUAACGACUUUCAGGAUUAGGGCCAGCUGUGGGUCUACUCCUUGUUGGAGCCCAUCUCACCUGGGAUGCCUGCAGCCAGCCCUCCCUCGUGAUUUGUCUCACCUUGAGUAGGAGACAUGCCUCUCCCCUAUCCUUUUCCUUUCUGCCAUAAUUAACAUAUGUCCUUUUCAGUAAGUCCAUGCCUCUGGCAGGGGAUGAAGAAGUACUCACUGGUAAUUAGCUACCAUCUUUGCAGCAGCCCUGGUAACUUGAAAAAUUUGGGUCUGGUGCUGUUCAUUGAGUCUUUGUGUAACUGCAAAAGCAGGAAAGGAAGUCAAGACUCCUGUUGCCUCGUGUUUAGCAAAGCAGUCCUUAUCCUUUAUACUCUGUUCUUGGGUUUUGUUUUUGUCUUGUUUUAUACCAGGCAAAUUGCUUAGUAGCAAAGGGACCAAACUUAAAAGGUGACAAUCUCUAACUUCUAAAAGCAGACACCAAUCGGAUGCUCAUUAGAGGUUAAUGAAGAUGCCAUUCUUGGUGGCCUCUGCACCCAAAUUGCAUCUGGAAAGAACUAGGGUCUCGUUCAGAAUGUCCAAAAGGAAAUUCUUAAGAGCUUAAAUUCAGAUUUGUGUCUCAUUAAUGCAGUGAACAAUUCAAAACCACACAGAUUCCUUGGCAGGAAGGACAAUGGAAUAACAAUGUUGAUGAGACCUUUUUAGCUUCAAGGUUUCGGAGUCUAAACAAAUGGAUGAUUCAUUUGGAAUGAAACUCACAAUGCAAGUAGAAGGACCUCUCCAAAUCAGGCCAAUUGGGUUAUCCUGGCUUGGAAUCUGGUGUGAAACCAUAGGUCUUAACACUCUGGAGCAGCACAUUGCUGUGGAUAUGUCCAGGAGACCUUAGAUAUGGCUUAAAGGCUUUCAAGAUGAGGACAGAAAUUGCUUACAAUUGCUCAGUUUCUCAACAGA
RNAcentral lists this small RNA (1618 nucleotides) under Pan troglodytes (chimpanzee). RNAcentral's name for it is "processed transcript". Lineage: Eukaryota; Metazoa; Chordata; Mammalia; Primates; Hominidae. The record is from RNAcentral.